ACGGGUGAGUAACACGUGAGUAACCUGCCCUUGACUCUGGGAUAAGCCUGGGAAACUGGGUCUAAUACCGGAUACGACCAUCUGGCGCGUGUCAUGGUGGUGGAAAGCUUUUGUGGUUUUGGAUGGACUCGCGGCCUAUCAGCUUGUUGGUGGGGUAAUGGCCUACCAAGGCGACGACGGGUAGCCGGCCUGAGAGGGUGACCGGCCACACUGGGACUGAGACACGGCCCAGACUCCUACGGGAGGCAGCAGUGGGGAAUAUUGCACAAUGGGCGCAAGCCUGAUGCAGCGACGCCGCGUGAGGGAUGACGGCCUUCGGGUUGUAAACCUCUUUCAGUAGGGAAGAAGCCGUAAGGUGACGGUACCUGCAGAAGAAGCGCCGGCUAACUACGUGCCAGCAGCCGCGGUAAUACGUAGGGCGCAAGCGUUAUCCGGAAUUAUUGGGCGUAAAGAGCUCGUAGGCGGUUUGUCGCGUCUGCUGUGAAAGACCGGGGCUCAACUCCGGUUCUGCAGUGGGUACGGGCAGACUAGAGUGCAGUAGGGGAGACUGGAAUUCCUGGUGUAGCGGUGAAAUGCGCAGA
This 581-nucleotide ribosomal RNA is filed under the name uncultured bacterium. RNAcentral describes it as "bacterial SSU rRNA". It matches the Rfam family "Bacterial small subunit ribosomal RNA", at positions 102 to 694 of the family's 1533-position model. The record is from RNAcentral.